Small nucleolar RNA from Phragmites australis (common reed), 89 nucleotides. RefSeq annotates it as small nucleolar RNA SNORD96 family. The transcript has a single exon. The record is from RefSeq and is a predicted model, not a curated record. NCBI's taxonomy places the organism in Eukaryota, Viridiplantae, Streptophyta, Magnoliopsida, Poales, Poaceae.
AGGCCUGUGACGAUAACCUCUUGUUAAAAUACCAUCUUUCGGGACUGAUUUGGCUCAGCCAUGCUGUCACUUCCACGUUUCUGAGGUCU